AGUGGAAUUUGCUAAGUCAUAUGGUAAUUCUGUAUUUAACUUUUUCAGGAACAGUCAAACUGUUUUUCACAGAGGCUGUACCAUUUUACAUUCUCGCCAGCAAU
Molecule: microRNA precursor, 104 nt
Filed under: Marmota monax (woodchuck)
Lineage: Eukaryota; Metazoa; Chordata; Mammalia; Rodentia; Sciuridae
Source: RNAcentral